UUGAAUUUGUGCUUGUGCGAGGCUUU
Molecule: non-coding RNA, 26 nt
Filed under: Mus musculus (house mouse)
Lineage: Eukaryota; Metazoa; Chordata; Mammalia; Rodentia; Muridae
Source: RNAcentral